This 490-nucleotide ribosomal RNA is filed under the name uncultured bacterium. RNAcentral's name for it is "partial 16S ribosomal RNA". It matches the Rfam family "Bacterial small subunit ribosomal RNA", at positions 30 to 507 of the family's 1533-position model. The record is from RNAcentral.
AUUGAACGCUGGCGGCAGGCCUAACACAUGCAAGUCGAACGGUAACAGGAAGCAGCUUGCUGCUUUGCUGACGAGUGGUGGACGGGUGAGUAAUGUCUGGGAAACUGCCUGAUGGAGGGGGAUAACUACUGGAAACGGUAGCUAAUACCGCAUAACGUCGCAAGACCAAAGAGGGGGACCUUCGGGCCUCUUGCCAUCGGAUGUGCCCAGAUGGGAUUAGCUAGUAGGUGGGGUAACGGCUCACCUAGGCGACGAUCCCUAGCUGGUCUGAGAGGAUGACCAGCCACACUGGAACUGAGACACGGUCCAGACUCCUACGGGAGGCAGCAGUGGGGAAUAUUGCACAAUGGGCGCAAGCCUGAUGCAGCCAUGCCGCGUGUAUGAAGAAGGCCUUCGGGUUGUAAAGUACUUUCAGCGGGGAGGAAGGGAGUAAAGUUAAUACCUUUGCUCAUUGACGUUACCCGCAGAAGAAGCACCGGCUAACUCCGUG